Long non-coding RNA from Neofelis nebulosa (Clouded leopard), 1970 nucleotides. RefSeq lists it as uncharacterized. The transcript is spliced from 2 exons. Lineage: Eukaryota; Metazoa; Chordata; Mammalia; Carnivora; Felidae. The record is from RefSeq and is a predicted model, not a curated record.
CGGGCUGGGCGGCUCCCCUUCCCCCCCCAAGCUACCCCCUCCAGGACCCCGUCAUCCUCCUCAACCGCUCCAAGCCUGCCUGGCACACAGUAGGUGCUUAAUAGGUGUGUUAAGUGGCUGCGCACACAGGAGCGCCCCCAGAUACCUCGUGGAAGGCAUAGGCACAUUUUGUUGCCAUGACAGAGCCAGGCCCGGCCUGUGGUACGCUGUCCACAGAAGGGGAAACUGAGGCCAGCCGUCCCCAGUCGCCCAGGAGAACACGCAGCGGGAGAAGCAGUCCCAACGUCUGCACCCAGGAGAGAGGCCGAUGAGCGACGCUGCACGUAGCGUGGAGCGCCACACGACUGUGAGCGUGAGUGAGUGGAUGGGCGUGGCCUGCAGGACGUAUGGUUAAGGGGGUGGGGGCGGGGGAUACAAAAGGCUAUACGUAGGGUGCUACCUUCUGCAAAGCAAAGAAGGGGAAAUAAGGCCCCGAUCUGCUUGCUUUUGCAAAAGACACACAGGACAGAUAAACCAGGAACCCGUGAAAUUGGUUCCCUGCGGGGGGUAGGGGGGCGGGUAGAGUUGAAAUAAAUGGACAGCGGUGGGACUGACACCCUACGAGCAUUCCUCAUAGUUUUCAAGCUCUGAGUACACUUGCCAUAGUUUACAAUGAAAUUAACUCAACAAGGGUGCAGGGGAAAAGCUCCAGGAUGUGGAUCAGAAACAGAAAACAGGUGAAACGAACUGUGUUUCAGAUGAAAACCAUGACCGCCCAGAAAUAGAGGAGAACCAGCCCGUGCAACCUUUGGGCACGACACUUUUUCUAAAGAUGAAAGGAACUGACAAAAAAAAAAAAAAAUGACGUUGUUUAGUACAUUUGUUUUCAGGACUGGCAGGGUGUAGUCAUUCUGAAAGUCUCAUGUGUAUUAUGGGACUGAGCAAAGUAGCGAGGGUACUGAUGUUAGUAAGAAGCAGGUCUUGGGGCGCCUGGGUGGCUCAGUCGGUUGAGCGUCCGACUUCGGCUCGGGUCAUGAUCUCACGGUCCACGAGUUCGAGCCCUGCGUCGGGCUCUGUGCGGACAGCUGGGAGCCCGGAGCCUGCUUCGGAUUCUGUGUGUCUCUCUCUCUGCCCUCCCCUGUUCACGCUCUGUCUCUGUCUCAAGAAUAAAUAAACAUUAAAAAAAAAAAAAAGAAGAAGAAGCAGGUGUUCACAGAGGAGCAUAUAAGACGUCAACAUUGGUAGGAGAGCACACGAAACAACCCCGGAGGGAAAGUAUCAGCGAGGACCGUGACGAUUUACUUUAUUUCAGUUUUUUAAGUUUCUUUAUCUUGAGCGAGACAGAGAGAGAGAAUCCCAAGCAGCCUCCACACCAUCAGCACAGAGCCCAAUGUGGGGCUUGAACUCACGAACAGUGAGAUCAUGACCUGAGCCGAAACCAAGAGUCGGAUGCUUAACCUACUGAGCCACCCUGGUGCCCCGGGCCCCGUGAUGAUUUAGACAAAAAUCUAUUUCAUAACUCUGUCCACUGAGACCAGCCAAUAACAACAGUUACAUCUAGCCCCUAGAUCAGAUCUUGGCUUUUGAAUAUCGCCUCCAGGGCUCCUGGGAGAAAUGGCUGAUUCUGGGAGUGGGGCAGGGAGAGUGCCACGCGAGCCUGGAAGUUCAUGGUGGGCCAGGAAGUCAGGACGGGGACCUGUCAGAGACACAGGGGCCAGCCUGACAGGGCGGCUGCUGGCCAAGCCUGGAGCGGUCUGGGCAUCGGUACUGAGCGACCUUAAAAUUGAGAGAGACUCAAAGUAGUGGUUGGCGCCAAGGGGGGGGGGGGGGGACAGCCAGUGUUCGAUGGGGACAGAGUUCAGUUUCACAAGAGAUGGACGGCUGCACAGCACUGGGGAUGGUUUAACGCCACUGAACUGGGCAUUGGAAGUGGUUGAGAUGGUCAAUUUUAUGUUCAAGUGCGGUUUAUCCCAAUAAAACCAAUUAGGGGA